AGCUAGAAGCGCAGAAGCAACAUGUGUGGGAGUGGCGAAUGGGACUUUGCACCGGAGGCUCGAGGAGCGGUGUGGGAGUGGCGAAUGGGACUUUGCACCGGAGGCUCGAGGAGCGCAAGAGGGAUGUUGGGACUGGUAGGAUGGCAAUAGCGUUGCAAGAGGGAUGUUAGGACUGGUAAGAUGGCGACAGCGUUAGCUGAACAAGCAUUUAAUGAGAACAUCGUAAUCAAGUGGGACAAGGCACGAGUAAUUAAGCCUGUUUUCAACUCAAGAACAGCGAUAACCCAAGAGACCAUCGAAAUUUUAACUAGAAAAAAGAAUCAAAACCUUAUUAACGAUAGGCCCACAGCCAAAUUACCUGAAGCAUGGAUGUAUUUAUUAAAAGAGCAUAGAAAGUUAUAAAUAACCCUGGUGCCGAGGACUUAGC
RNAcentral lists this long non-coding RNA (427 nucleotides) under Androctonus crassicauda. The record is from RNAcentral. Lineage: Eukaryota; Metazoa; Arthropoda; Arachnida; Scorpiones; Buthidae.